AAUAUUGGACAAUGGAGGCAACUCUGAUCCAGCCAUGCCGCGUGAAGGAAUAAGGCCCUAUGGGUUGUAAACUUCUUUUAGACGGGACAAAACCCCUUUACGUGUAAAGGGUUGAUGGUACUGUCAGAAUAAGCAUCGGCUACCUUCGUGCCAGCAGCCGCGGUAAUACGAAGGAUGCAAGCGUCAUCCGGAAUUAUUGGGUUUAAAGGGUGCGUAGGCGGACUAAUAAGUCAGUGGUGAAAGCCUGCAGCUUAACUGCAGAAUUGCCAUUGAUACUGUUAGUCUUGAGUACAGUUGAGGUAGGCGGAAUGUGUCAUGUAGCGGUGAAAUGCUUAGAUAUGACACAGAACACCGAUUGCGAAGGCAGCUUGCUAGGCUGUAACUGACGCUGAGGCACGAAAGCGUGGGGAGCAAACA
RNAcentral lists this ribosomal RNA (417 nucleotides) under uncultured bacterium. RNAcentral describes it as "bacterial SSU rRNA". It matches the Rfam family "Bacterial small subunit ribosomal RNA", at positions 360 to 774 of the family's 1533-position model. The record is from RNAcentral.